UACAGAGGGUGCGAGCGUUGUUCGGAAUUAUUGGGCGUAAAGCGCGCGCAGGCGGUCCUUUAAGUCUGAUGUGAAAGCCCACGGCUCAACCGUGGAGGGUCAUUGGAAACUGUCGGGCUAGAGUCCGGAAGAGGCGAGUGGAAUUCCCGGUGUAGCGGUGAAAUGCGCAGAUAUCGGGAGGAACACCAAUGGCGAAGGCAGCUCGCUGGGACGGUACUGACGCUGAGACGCGAAAGCGUGGGGAGCAAACAGG
Molecule: ribosomal RNA, 253 nt
Filed under: uncultured bacterium
Lineage: Bacteria
Description: partial 16S ribosomal RNA
Rfam family: Bacterial small subunit ribosomal RNA
Source: RNAcentral